This 449-nucleotide ribosomal RNA is filed under the name uncultured bacterium. Its description in RNAcentral is "partial 16S ribosomal RNA". It matches the Rfam family "Bacterial small subunit ribosomal RNA", at positions 29 to 523 of the family's 1533-position model. The record is from RNAcentral.
AACGAACGCUGGCGGCAGGCUUAACACAUGCAAGUCGAACGAGAUCUUCGGAUCUAGUGGCAGACGGGUGAGGAACACGUGGGAACAUCCUUUUCAGUUCGGAAUAACGUUGGGAAACUAACGCUAAUACCGGAUACGUCCUUCGGGAGAAAGAUUUAUCGCUGAAAGAUUGGCCCGCGUCUGAUUAGCUAGUUGGUGAGGUAAUGGCUCACCAAGGCUACGAUCAGUAGCUGAUCUGAGAGGAUGAUCAGCCACAUUGGGACUGAGACACGGCCCAAACUCCUGCGGGAUGCAGCAGUGGGGAAUAUUGGACAAUGGGCGCAAGCCUGAUCCAGCCAUGCCGCGUGAGUGAUGACGGCCUUCGGGUUGUAAAGCUCUUUUGUCCGGGAAGAUAAUGACUGUACCGGAAGAAUAAGCCCCGGCAAACUUCGUGCCAGCCGCCGCCGUAA